CUGCCCCUGUCAGGGGGACAACCCGCCGAAAGGCGGGCUAAACCCGCGUACAUGCCACCGGGGCAUCCCGGAGGCAGGAAAGGCUUCGGCCGGACAGGGAUGGGCAUGCGGCGCAUUAGGCAGUAGGCGGGGUAACGGCCCACCUAACCGACGAUGCGUAGGGGUUCUGAGAGGAAGGUCCCCCACACUGGUACUGAGACACGGACCAGACUCCUACGGGAGGCAGCAGUGAGGAAUAUUGGUCAAUGGUCGGGAGACUGAACCAGCCAAGCCGCGUGAGGGAGGAAGGUACAGAGUAUCGUAAACCUCUUUUGUCAGGGAACAAAGACUGGGACGCGUCCCCGGAUGAGUGUACCUGAAGAAAAAGCAUCGGCUAACUCCGUGCCAGCAGCCGCGGUAAUACGGAGGAUGCGAGCGUUAUCCGGAUUUAUUGGGUUUAAAGGGUGCGCAGGCGGUCUGUUAAGUCAGCGGUCAAAGCCCGGGGCUCAACCCCGGCCCGCCGUUGAAACUGGCAGUCUCGAGUUGGAGAGAAGUAUGCGGAAUGCGCGGUGUAGCGGUGAAAUGCAUAGAUAUCGCGCAGAACUCCGAUUGCGAAGGCAGCAUGCCGGCUCCACACUGACGCUGAGGCACGAAAGCGUGGGUAUCGAACAGGAUUAGAUACCCUGGUAGUCCACGCAGUAAACGAUGA
This 688-nucleotide ribosomal RNA is filed under the name uncultured bacterium. RNAcentral's name for it is "bacterial SSU rRNA". It matches the Rfam family "Bacterial small subunit ribosomal RNA", at positions 126 to 812 of the family's 1533-position model. The record is from RNAcentral.